GUCGGAAUAGUUCAAUGGUAAAACAGUUUCCUUGUAAGAAUCAGUUGGUGGUUCGAAUCCAUCUUUCGAUA
This is a non-coding RNA of Tulasnella sp. JGI-2019a, 71 nucleotides long. Lineage: Eukaryota; Fungi; Basidiomycota; Agaricomycetes; Cantharellales; Tulasnellaceae. The record is from the annotation of a GenBank genome assembly.